This 497-nucleotide ribosomal RNA is filed under the name uncultured bacterium. RNAcentral's name for it is "partial 16S ribosomal RNA". It matches the Rfam family "Bacterial small subunit ribosomal RNA", at positions 28 to 507 of the family's 1533-position model. The record is from RNAcentral.
GAUGAACGCUGGCGGCGUGCCUAAUACAUGCAAGUCGAGCGAACAGAUGAUGAGCUUGCUCCUCUGACGUUAGCGGCGGACGGGUGAGUAACACGUGGAUAACCUACUUAUAAUACUGGGAUAACUUCGUGAAACCGGAGCUAAUACCGGAUAAUAUAUUGAACCGCAUGGUUCAAUAGUGAAAGACGGUUUUGCUGUCACUUAUAGAUGGUUCCGCGCCGCAUUAGCUAGUUGGUAAGGUAACGGCUUACCAAGGCAACGAUGCGUAGCCGACCUGAGAGGGUGAUCAGCCACACUGGAACUGAGACACGGUCCAGACUCCUACGGGAGGCAGCAGUAGGGAAUCUUCCGCAAUGGGCGAAAGCCUGACGGAGCAACGCCGCGUGAGUGAUGAAGGUCUUCGGAUCGUAAAACUCUGUUAUUAGGGAAGAAAAAAUGUGUAAGUAACUAUGCACGUCUUGACGGUACCUAAUCAGAAAGCAACGGCUAACUACGUG